UAUCAUUUUGGAGGGAAAAUUCUAACCUUUUGAUUGGUCAAUCUUUAGGCCAAAGGUCUUACUAUAUGUUUUCAUUGUUUCUGGUAGAUUUAUACUGCAGACAUAUUGGAAUGUAGUGAAAAUUACCUGCUUGUUAUAUUCAAUUCUGACAUUGAUGAUAUUUGUAUUAUAAUUCUUGGAUUCUCAAUAUUCUUAUAUUCAGGAUAUGGAUUGAUACCUUGUCAAGUUGUCAAAUGAUUAGUGCUCAGAUUUUUAUGUACACAGCACUGUGAUAUUCCAGCUAGUACACUGACCUUUGUACCAUAUACAUGGGUCUUAAAUAUUUGUGUAUUAAAAGAACAGAACCCUAAAAUAGUUUUCGUUGUAUUUGACCAGAAAAUACCCCGUUACAUUUGGCGCCCAACGUGAUUUACCAUUUGGAGCCUCACAGAAGC
Molecule: long non-coding RNA, 434 nt
Organism: Mytilus trossulus (common blue mussel)
Lineage: Eukaryota; Metazoa; Mollusca; Bivalvia; Mytilida; Mytilidae
Exons: 3
Source: RefSeq, a predicted model, not a curated record